RNAcentral lists this long non-coding RNA (1400 nucleotides) under Equus asinus (donkey). RNAcentral's name for it is "lncRNA (ENSEASG00005027714.1)". The record is from RNAcentral. Lineage: Eukaryota; Metazoa; Chordata; Mammalia; Perissodactyla; Equidae.
AAUCUGUUCUCUGUAUCUAUGUGUUUGUGUGUUUGUUUUCCACAUAUGAAUGAAAUCAUAUGGUGUUUGUCUUUCUCUGUCUGACUUAUUUUGCUUAGCAUAAUACCCUCAAGGUCCAUCCAUGUUGUCGCAAAUGGCAAGAUUUAAUCUUUUUUCUGGCUGAGUAGUAUUCCAUUGAAUAUAAAUACCACAUCUUUAUCCAGUCAUCUGUUGAUGGACACUUAGGUUGUUUCCAAGUCUUGGCUAUUGUGAAUAAUGCUUUAAUGAACAUAAGGGUGCAUAUAUCUUUUCAAAUUAAUUGUUUUCACAUUCUUUCGAUAAACACCCAGAAGUGGAAUAGCUGGAUCAUAUGGUAUUUCUAUUUUUAAUUUUUUGAGAAACCUCCAUACUGUUUUUCAUAGUGGCUGCACCAGUUUGCAUUCCCACCAGCCGUGUAUGAGGGUUCCCUUUUCUCCUCAACCUUCCCAAUGGCCAGAUGCUGGAUAUGUUUUUUAGAAUAGAGCUAACUGGCUUUGUUGAUGAACUGGAUAUGGGUUAAUGGACAGACAUCCUUAUUCUUCUGGGACAGUUCCAGCUUAUAUAAUGAAUGACAUGGUCACCCUGGUUAUGAGAAAAAGAGAGGAGUCUAGAAUGGCUCCAAAGUUUUUGGCCUGAGCAACUGGAAGAAUCAAGGUGCCAUUUAAUGAGAUGGGAGGGACUGUGAGGAACAGGUGAGGGGAGGCGUGGAAUCAGGAGUUCUGGUUUGGAUCUUUUCAGGUUGCUUAAGAGACAUUCAAGUGUCUGGUAAGCACAAGCACAAGUGGAGUAGGUGGUGGGAGUCCAGGACGAGGUCUGAGGCAGAGAUGGGAAUUCGAGUGUUGCUAGACCAGAGGAAGCAUGAAGCCAGAGGCCGGAUGCAGUCACAUCCCAGCAAUGAGAAGACCCCUGGGCACGCUCAAGUAGAAGCUGGGGACUGAAGAGGAGCCGACCACAGAGAACAUGAAGGAGCUACUGUAGGAGAGUAGAGGCCAUGAAUGUGUCAGAAAUGAUGCUGUGCCAACUCCAAGCCUAAGCCUUAAGACAGCCUGGCAGCUUCUGCUUUCGAAUUUGAGGAGCCCUGGCUACCCCACUGGAAAGGCUACGUGAGAGGCCACCCGGACGGGCCACUGGAGAGGGAGAGCCUACAUGGAGAGAGGGGCCCAGCCGUUCCAACAUCCCAGCAGAGCCCAGCCUUCUCACUGACGCUGCCAAGACACCAGACGUGAAUGAGUCAUCCCGGCCACUCUGCAGAUGACUGCAGCCCCAGUGAAAAUCCAUGGGGAGCAGAAGAAGCACCUCGCGGAGCCCAGCCAGCACACACAGUCUGGAGAGAGAAUAAAGUGACUGUUGUUUUGAUCACUUAGUUGUGAGGUGGAGUGUCA